GAUGAACGCUGGCGGCGUGCCUAAUACAUGCAAGUCGAGCGAAUGGAUUGAGAGCUUGCUCUCAAGAAGUUAGCGGCGGACGGGUGAGUAACACGUGGGUAACCUGCCCAUAAGACUGGGAUAACUCCGGGAAACCGGGGCUAAUACCGGAUAACAUUUUGUAACUGCAUGGUUCGAAAUUGAAAGGCGGCUUCGGCUGUCACUUAUGGAUGGACCCGCGUCGCAUUAGCUAGUUGGUGAGGUAACGGCUCACCAAGGCAACGAUGCGUAGCCGACCUGAGAGGGUGAUUGGCCACACUGGGACUGAGACACGGCCCAGACUCCUACGGGAGGCAGCAGUAGGGAAUCUUCCGCAAUGGACGAAAGUCUGACGGAGCAACGCCGCGUGAGUGAUGAAGGCUUUCGGGUCGUAAACUACUGUUGUUAGGGAAGAACAAGUGCUAGUUGAA
Molecule: ribosomal RNA, 449 nt
Filed under: uncultured bacterium
Lineage: Bacteria
Description: bacterial SSU rRNA
Rfam family: Bacterial small subunit ribosomal RNA
Source: RNAcentral